UGCUUCCCGAAAAACCUAUGGAAAGUAAUUUCUGCCCAGUGAAAACUUAAACGGCCGCGGUACCCUGACCGUGCAAAGGUAGCAUAAUAGCUUGCCUUUUAAUUAAAGGCUUGUAUGAACGAACCAACGAGAGUUUGACUGUCUCCUAGAUAAACACGAAAAUUAACCUUUAUGUGAAAAGGCAUAAAUUAAACUAAAAGACAAAAAGACCCUGUCGAGCUUAAUUGUUAAAACCCCCCAAGAAAAGUAUUUCACUCUUGCUAGGCAAUAAAUCAAUUUAGUUGGGGCAACAAGGGAACAGCACAAACCUUCCCUUAGCUAAUUAAUAAUAAUUUGAUGACCCCCCAACCGGGCCAAAAGAUAAAAGCUACCGCAGGGAUAACAGGUUAAUUUUUCUCGAGAGUACACAUUAACAGAAAAGAUUUACACCUCGAUGUUGGCUUAGGCUAUCCCACUAGUGCAGAAGCUAGUAACGGCAGGUUUGUUCACCCUAAAAAAGCCUACGUGAUCUG
This 512-nucleotide ribosomal RNA is filed under the name Euphrosinella sp. DZMB HH 42660-A. Its description in RNAcentral is "partial large subunit ribosomal RNA". It matches the Rfam family "Bacterial large subunit ribosomal RNA", at positions 1827 to 2607 of the family's 2925-position model. The record is from RNAcentral. Lineage: Eukaryota; Metazoa; Annelida; Polychaeta; Eunicida; Euphrosinidae.